This 86-nucleotide small RNA is filed under the name Escherichia coli. RNAcentral's name for it is "partial RtT sRNA". It matches the Rfam family "RtT RNA", at positions 1 to 84 of the family's 130-position model. From Rfam's summary of the family: This family represents a bacterial cis-regulatory element known as RtT RNA. The exact function of RtT is unknown although it is thought that it may be involved in changing the cellular response in relation to amino acid starvation. Lineage: Bacteria; Pseudomonadati; Pseudomonadota; Gammaproteobacteria; Enterobacterales; Enterobacteriaceae. The record is from RNAcentral.
AUUCUGCCCAUGCGGGGAAGGAUGAGAAGCUUCGACCAAGGUUCGACUUGAGCGCCAGCGAGAGAGCGUUGCCGCAGGCAACGACC